This 969-nucleotide ribosomal RNA is filed under the name uncultured Verrucomicrobiota bacterium. RNAcentral describes it as "bacterial SSU rRNA". It matches the Rfam family "Bacterial small subunit ribosomal RNA", at positions 524 to 1482 of the family's 1533-position model. Lineage: Bacteria; Pseudomonadati; Verrucomicrobiota. The record is from RNAcentral.
UACAGAGGUCCCAAGCGUUGUUCGGAUUCACUGGGCGUAAAGGGUGCGUAGGUGGCGGGGUAAGUCGGAUGUGAAAUCUCCGAGCUCAACUCGGAAAUGGCAUUGGAAACUGCUCUGCUCGAGGGUUGGAGGGGGGACUGGAAUACUUGGUGUAGCAGUGAAAUGCGUAGAUAUCAAGUGGAACACCAGUGGCGAAGGCGAGUCCCUGGACAACUCCUGACACUGAGGCACGAAAGCUAGGGGAGCAAACAGGAUUAGAUACCCUGGUAGUCCUAGCCGUAAACGGUGCACGUUUGCUGUAAAAGGAAUCGACCCCUUUUGUGGCGUAGCCAACGCGUUAAACGUGCCGCCUGGGAAGUACGGUCGCAAGAUUAAAACUCAAAGAAAUUGACGGGGGCCUGCACAAGCGGUGGAGUAUGUGGCUCAAUUCGAUGCAACGCGAAGAACCUUACCUGGCCUUGACAUGUACGUAGUAGAAGGGUGAAAGCCUGACGAGGUAGCAAUACCAGCGUACACAGGUGCUGCAUGGCUGUCGUCAGCUCGUGUCGUGAGAUGUUGGGUUAAGUCCCGCAACGAGCGCAACCCCUGUGUCCUGUUGCCACCCCGGCGAGAGUCGGGAGCACUCUGGACAGACUGCCUCGCUUAAACGAGGAGGAAGGUGGGGAUGACGUCAAGUCAGUAUGGCCCUUACGGCCAGGGCUGCACACGUACUACAAUGCCCGGCACAAAGGGAAGCAAGACCGCAAGGUGGAGCAAAUCCCCAAAAACCGGGCCCAGUUCAGAUCGUCGUCUGCAACUCGACGGCGUGAAGUUGGAAUCGCUAGUAAUGGCGCAUCAGCUACGGCGCCGUGAAUACGUUCCCAGGCCUUGUACACACCGCCCGUCACAUCAUGAAAGCCGUUUGUACCCGAAGUCACUGUGCUAACCGCAAGGAAGUAGGUGCCGAAGGUAUGGAUGGUGAUUGGGAUG